UGUCCUAUGGUGUAAUUGGCAACACGUCUGAUUUUGGUUCAGAAGAGUCUAAGUUCGAGCCUUAGUAGGACAA
RNAcentral lists this transfer RNA (73 nucleotides) under Bacteroidales bacterium. Its description in RNAcentral is "tRNA-Gln". It matches the Rfam family "tRNA". Rfam says of the family: Transfer RNA (tRNA) molecules are approximately 80 nucleotides in length. Their secondary structure includes four short double-helical elements and three loops (D, anti-codon, and T loops). RNAcentral also lists the same sequence under 1 other name. Lineage: Bacteria; Pseudomonadati; Bacteroidota; Bacteroidia; Bacteroidales. The record is from RNAcentral.